UAAGCAAGGCUGUUACCACCCCACGCCGGAAGGGUGGGAAGGAAACAAGGGCUGGCGCUGUUAUCAUAGUCCCUUUUCCGGAACACUGACUUAAUAAAGGGUAUCGACUUAAAAAUAGAAUCCUAGCGCCCAGGCAGCGUGUCACCAUGAGGCAGUCACCCCUCAGGACUCCACUUUGGUCCUGGAGCGCUCCAGCCUGUCCGCACACCUGGGCCCUUGCUCAGUGUUUGGCAUUAAGUCAGGCGUAAUUCGGGACAAUAGUUGAGAUUUCCGUGGUGAGCGGCUGCUCCUGAAGCCUCUCAUGGCCUGACGGAUUUCAGAAUCACGAGUGUUUUGGCCGUUGCUCUCCCAGCUGCUAAUGUCAACUAGUCACCCCUGUACUCCCAGGAGAGCACCCCUGGGAAGGUGAACUAUUAAACAACGCUUGGCCAUUGGUAUAUUGGGUCCCAGCUCUAUGGCCUUGUCUUGAAACAACUAAAUGCUUUAUUGAAGAAGAAAUGUACAUGCAUGAAAAAGUUUUCUGUUCUGAUCCUUUGCUACCUUUGGAAUCAGAAAGGAAGCUGCUGUGGGUUCCAAAGAAAGACAUCACUUUGGACUGAAGCUUCUUGGUACAAAAUGAACUCCAUGAGAGCAGAGACAAGACUUCUCUAUUGAGCCCUCUCCCUACGUGGAACGUCCUGGCACAUGGGAAACCUUCCUCAGUAAAUACUAUGGAGUAAAUAACAUGCUGAAUAAAUGUGAGAAUAAAACUUUAAGAGAGAUUACUCCUAAAUGGUGAAAUAAAAAAGUAAAUAAAUAAAUACAUUUUGGUGUAACUGUAUGUCAUCUACUUUCGCCCCACAUCUUCCCCACAAAAUUCAACACCACCAUUAAACUAAUUACUUAUAGAUUAAGUAACGUGAAUACAUGAUGUAUAAGACCUGCUAGACCUUUAAAAAAUUCUUCCAACAAAGGACCAUUUACCAAUAAUUCAGUUAAAUGACAUGUGAAACACACUAGGAAAAAAAAUAAGGGAAGACAUCCAGACUGCAGAGUUACUCUUUCUACUCACCUUCACACACAGACACAUUGCUUUUCCAAAGGCUUUUCACUCCAGCCAAGACA
Molecule: long non-coding RNA, 1104 nt
Organism: Camelus dromedarius (Arabian camel)
Lineage: Eukaryota; Metazoa; Chordata; Mammalia; Artiodactyla; Camelidae
Exons: 4
Source: RefSeq, a predicted model, not a curated record